UUGGCCUUUGUGGUUUUAUAAUCAUCAUGUUUAUUAAUUGUAAUGACGUUGUUUGAUAUUAGGACUAACGUUAACGUUAGUGCAACCAGAGACGUUUGUCAUUUUGUGCAACAGUUUGUGCAAAGUUAACGUUAUUGUUAGCUGUGAUGCUCAUAUGAGUCUGUAGCCUAUCUGAUUUAAAAUGGGAUAGCAAUUUCGGCAGAAUAUGUUAUGCGUCAACUUUUAUCGGCUGGAUUCUAGCAUCUAACGUUACGAUUGCCUCUGUUGGGUUUGCUUGAUCAACCAUCGUUUCGGGGACUCUGAUGACAGUGAAGAGCCAGAAAAUGGUGACUUUGCAUCUCUGAGGUACCUUCCAACUCGCCUGGUAUAUCAGUUGAACCCUCAAGCCCAAGCCAAUUGCACUGGCAAACUCCACCAUCU
Alosa alosa (allis shad) is the source of this 420-nucleotide long non-coding RNA. RefSeq lists it as uncharacterized. NCBI's taxonomy places the organism in Eukaryota, Metazoa, Chordata, Actinopteri, Clupeiformes, Clupeidae. The transcript has 4 exons. The record is from RefSeq and is a predicted model, not a curated record.